UGAUAUAUAAUUUAUACAUUUAACCAGUGCCAAGCAUUAUGACCUUUAAGCAAUGUUGAACUUGAUCACCCAAAUUUUCACAAAUACUGCUAAUUACUUAAUUCAAACUGCAUUGUACAAAAUGUCGGUCAGAUCAUUUCAACCUUCCAGCUACCAACUAAUAUGUUUUCCAAUUUUCUAGCCCACCCAAACUUUACAAAAUGCUAGAUAGCAUAUUAGUCACAAUCAUAUUCACAUCACUAACUAUAUCCGAAAAUGAAUGACCCUGGGAAAAAUUACAAAUAUUACAUGGAUUUCAUUCAAUCAAUGUUGAUGUAGAAGCAUCCUUGCCCUAUGUUGAAGUUGAGUCAAUGACCUAAUACAAGUGCCCUCAUCGCAUGUCUUUAAGCGUGUAAGGCUGAUUAGUUCCCGAAUAAAAACUACAUGACUACUUUGCAUUGGCAACUUGUCUUCAGAUCCCUUGCUUUGGUGUUUCCCGUAUACAGCCUCAAAUUCUCUAAACUUACUGGCAGCUGUUCAUAGUACUGAGUCAGGAAGCCCUGAAAUGAUUACCAGUCAGGUGACAUUCAUCAUAGCAGAUGCUAAAAUUUUGCAAUUCAGUCGAUUCUCUAUAAACAAAGAUGUAGAUAAAUACAACAAAAUACAUCUACAUCUUUUUGUCCUAAAGGUUCUUAAUAACAGAAGGUAUUGAUUAAUGCACAUUUCAAUAAUCUGAGAAUAUGAACUAAAUUCAAGGAAAAAUCAAC
RNAcentral lists this long non-coding RNA (746 nucleotides) under Gossypium raimondii (Peruvian cotton). RNAcentral's name for it is "long non-coding RNA (GRAI_LNC010067)". The record is from RNAcentral. Lineage: Eukaryota; Viridiplantae; Streptophyta; Magnoliopsida; Malvales; Malvaceae.